UACGAAGGGGGCUAGCGUUGCUCGGAAUUACUGGGCGUAAAGCGCACGUAGGCGGCUCUUUAAAUCGGGGGUGAAAUCCUGGAGCUCAACUCCAGAACUGCCUUCGAUACUGAAGAGCUUGAGUCCGGGAGAGGUGAGUGGAACUGCGAGUGUAGAGGUGAAAUUCGUAGAUAUUCGCAAGAACACCAGUGGCGAAGGCGGCUCACUGGCCCGGUACUGACGCUGAGGUGCGAAAGCGUGGGGAGCAAACAGG
RNAcentral lists this ribosomal RNA (253 nucleotides) under uncultured bacterium. RNAcentral's name for it is "partial 16S ribosomal RNA". It matches the Rfam family "Bacterial small subunit ribosomal RNA", at positions 524 to 776 of the family's 1533-position model. The record is from RNAcentral.